RNAcentral lists this transfer RNA (64 nucleotides) under Dipodomys ordii (Ord's kangaroo rat). It matches the Rfam family "tRNA". Rfam says of the family: Transfer RNA (tRNA) molecules are approximately 80 nucleotides in length. Their secondary structure includes four short double-helical elements and three loops (D, anti-codon, and T loops). The record is from Rfam by way of RNAcentral. Lineage: Eukaryota; Metazoa; Chordata; Mammalia; Rodentia; Heteromyidae.
GGUGGCUCAGUGGUAGAGCACUUGCCUUGCAUGCAUGAGACCCUAGGUUCGAUUCUCAGCACCA